RNAcentral lists this long non-coding RNA (5832 nucleotides) under Homo sapiens (human). RNAcentral describes it as "HSALNT0361887". The record is from RNAcentral. Lineage: Eukaryota; Metazoa; Chordata; Mammalia; Primates; Hominidae.
UUCUAGGAAGUCAGCAUGAAUCGGCUUUAUGUUCCCUGCCUCCAGACCCUAUUCUCCUGCCUCACAGGGAGUGACCUCACAGAAAGGCAUUUUUUUUUUUUAAUUGGAAGUUUCUUUCAAACUCUGCCUGCUUUUAGAUGGCUCCUCUUAGAACUAUGCAUCUCUCCUGAUACUUGGAUGCUUUUCCUCUGACUGAUGAAGAUCCUGAAUACCAAAGAGGGCCGCUGACAGGUCUAGGAGUACACUUCUAGCACCUAGCAGAGAGAGGCUUCACUACAUCAUGCUUCCUGACAUCUCUCCCUUUGAAGAGCAGUCAGACUCCUGCUUUGCUCUUCAGACUUAAUUUGGGGGUUUAACAGCCAUGUGAAGUGCUCACUCCCCCUUUGCCUUCUGCCAUGAUUGUGUGUUUCCUGAGGCCUCCCCAGAAGCUGAGAAGAUGCUUCCUGUACAGCCUGCAGAACUGGAUAGCCCAGAGCUAUUCCAUGUAUUCCAUGGAUGGGCACAUUUGGAAGUUUGGUUCUAAAAUCUAAAAGAAGAAAUUUAAGUGUGCUGAAGAUAACUGCAACUCCAAACCUAACGCUGUGUAAUUCUAUGUUCUGCCAUUUUGAAGCAAAGUGGAACCAGAAGUGAGAGGACUAUUUCUAGGUCAUGCUACGGUUACCCUGACCCCAGUCACUCCCUAUGCUGGUCCAUCCAAACUCAGAGCCACGAUCAAGGCCCUUCUACAACACAGAUGUGAUUACUUCACUCUCUUUUGUGGGGUAAAUAUAAGCCAAGAGCCAAGCAGGUGCACUGUGGAGGAAGGGAGAAUGCAAGAAGAAAAAAAGAAAGCCCGCCAGGCGCGGUGGCUCACGCCUGCAAUCCCAGCACUUUGGGAGGCCAAGGUGGGCGGAUCAUGAGGUCAAGAGAUCAAGACCAUCCUGGCCAACAUGGUGAAACCCCAUCUCUACUAAAAAUACAAAAAUUAGCUGGGUGUGAUGCCGGUAGUCCUUGUAGCACCUGUAGCUACUCGGGAGGCUGAGGCAGGAGAAUCACUUGAACCCGGGGGCAGAGGUUGCAGUGAGCCGAGAUCGCUCCACUGCACUCUAGCCUGGUGACAGAGGAAGACUCCGUCUCAAAAAAAAAAGAAAAAGAAAGCCUAGGAGACAUGUACAAACUUGUAGGCAUUUGAGAAGUUAUGUUCAUUUGAUUAAAAUCAGAAAGACACAACUCGGAAAAUGUAAAAUACAGAUGAAAAAAUGAAAGCAAUCAUCUUCUUAAACUUAUAAAGAUCUUAAACUCAUUUCUCUGGCUUUAAAAGAAGAGCAUCAGUAUGGAGAAGCUAAGGGGAUGGCAUAUCUGAGCCCUUGUUGGGAAAACUCUUAAUCGCCUGCAGGUUUAGGACCAAGCAGGGCAUAUAAGCCACUUCAUGGUUUGGCCCCUUCCUUCUUCUCUGUUGCCUAACAAUUUUAACUUCACCAAUAUUAAACUAAUUGCAGUUUUCCAAACCUAUCCUACUAUUUUACCCUUUGAUGAUUUUCUGCCUGCCUUUUUCUUUGUUGAGAAUUUCCUUACUUUCUAUCUAUCUUUGCCUGACAAACUGAUUGAUUCUCCAAAGUGCAACUCAAGUAUUACCUCAUUUCUGAGGAUCAUUCCUUCAUCCCUUCAAGUUCCUUCUUCUGUGUCAUCAUUAACUUUCUAUGUGUGGUUUUAAUGUACUUCAAGUAAUGUCUUAUACUUAUUUUCUCAUGGCUAUUGUUCCCUUUCAGACUUGAUAAGUCCUCAAGGAGAGAAUCUAUGUCUUUUAAAAAAAUCUUGAUAUUUCCUUACAGAGGUCCUGGCACAAAAUAGAUACCCAAUAUAUGUGCAACUGAAUAGAAAUUUAUGAGGGAGUGAUAAUUAUCCGUGUCUUCCUUUCAGCUAUGACUGUGUCCCAUGAUAAAAGUUUUUUGGAUGAUGAUCAUUUGUCUUGUCAUUUUUGAGUUCAACAGCGAGUGCCAGGGGGAAGAUCAAGGAAAAAUUGUCUGCAUCUUGAUUCCAGAUUUUAAAAGCUCUGUAACCCUCACUCCAAGGGUUAUGCUUGCAGAAGAGAAAACAUUACUACUGGGACUAAAAAACAAAAUCCUUUCACAAAUGUAACUGAGUUUGUUUGCAUGCUCUGGAAUAUAAAUGUUUGAAAAUCUGCAAUGGCAAUGAAAUAAGGUAUCAAAUUCUACAGGCAAAAAGCCAUAGAACCAAUAUUCCAAAAAUGGCUCAUUAAUUUCUUUUUUUUACCCACCAACUGCACAGCUUGAGAAUGUAUUUUAAAAAUCUGAUCUUGUUUUAAACUAUUAAAAUAUUUUCCAGUGUCUAAAUAGCAGCCAGUUCUUAUAUUAUUCAUGAUUGCAGCCUGUCAUUGUGACCAGUUUUUUCCACUACUUAAUUGAGUGUAGUAUCAUUUCCAUUUUGCUACUGCCCGAUAGUACUGAAAAAUGUAAGCUAUAAAACUGCACUCAUCAAGAAAUAUUAAUGGAGGAGGAUGUCCAUAUCCUUUUACAAUGCUUAAAAGCUUAAGCUGUAAUAAUAAAAAGUUGGCAUGUAUUUCCUGAAAAAAUCAAAAGGAGAACUUGAAGGAAAUGAAAGUAAAAUCCAAUAGGAUUAUAAAAUUAGAGCAGAGUUAAGGAAAAAUAUUUUGAGUACCAGAAGAAGUCUAAAAUAAAUUUAAAAAAAUACAUUUGUGACACUGCGAUGUGACCCAGACAAUCGGUACUAAAUUAUGUAAUUGGAGACUCCUUGAAGAAUUUAGCAAUGCACUCAUUGGAGGAAGGCAAUAAAAACAUCUUUCCCUGGAUACCCAUCUGGAUUUAACCAGCUAGAUACAGGGAAAAAUGAACUGGUAGUUUAGAGAGAAAGCACUAGGACAAAACCUUGUCAGCCAUCAGAAUGGUGAGACUAAAGAAAUGGAGGAACCAAAUUCUUGACAUGGCUGGUCUAUGCUUAAAGAGAAAGGGGACAGUAUCAUGCUCUAUUAUUGAUAACCAGAAGAAAUGGUGAACCUAUUUGGUUCAAGUUGAUUAGUAACAUCUUCAUACCUAGUAAAGUGUCAUAAGUCUCAUUUAAAGCCACGGAGAGUUACCACACAUGUUUAAGAAUUUCAGAUUUGAAAGGAGUUAAGGUAAAAUCUCUCUCUUGGUAUGUGGCUAAGAAUUUCCAGGAGAGGUGUUACAAAACUCAACAAGGCUGGUAUAUUAGCCUGUUCUUGCAUUGCUAUAAAUAAAUACCUGAGACUGUGUAAUUCAUAAAGAAAAGGGAUUUAAUUGGAUCACUGUUCUACAGGCUUUAUAGGAAGCAUGGUGCUGACAUCUGCUUGGCUUUUGGGGAGGCUUCAGGAGACUUAAAAUCAUGAUGGAAGCUGAAAGGGGGAGCAGGCAGAUCACAUAGCAAAAGCAGGAGAAACAGAUAAGGGAGGUGUUGCUACACACCUUAAAACAACCAGAUCUUCAAAGAACUCAUUUGCUAUUGUGAGGAUAGUACCAACAGGAUGGUGCUAAACAAUUCAUGAGAAAUCAUCCCUUGUGAUCCAGUCACCUCCCACGAGGCCCCACCUCCAACAUUGGAGAUUACAGUUCAACAUGAGAUUUGGGUGGAACAUGCAAACCAUAUCAUUUUGCUCCUCGCCCCCCAAAUCUCAUGUACUUCUCACAUUGCAAAAUACAGUCAUGCCUUCCCAGUAGUCCCUGAAAGUCUUAACUCAUUCUAGCAUUAACUCAAAAGUCUGAAGUUUAAAGUUUCAUCUAAGACAGGGUAAGUCUCUGCCACCCAUAAGCCUGUGAAAUUAAAGACAAUUUAUGUACUUCCAAGAUAUAAUGGGGUUAUAAGCAUUGGGUAAUCAUUCUCAUUACAAAAGGGAGAAAUCAACCAAAAGAAAGGGGAGUACAGGGCCCAUGCAAGUCCAAAACCCAGCAGGGCAGUCACUAAAUCUUAAGGCUCCAAAAUUAUCUCCUUUGACUCCAUGUCUUGCCUCCAGGACACAAUGGUACAAGGGAUGGGUUCCCAAUGCCUUGGGCAGCUCUGCCCCUAUGGCUUUGCAAAGUUCGGCUCCAGAGGCUGCUGUCACAGGUCGUUGAGUGCCUGUGGCUUUUCCAUGCUGAGUAUGCAUGCUGGCGGUGGAUCUACCAUUAUGGAGUCUGCAGGACAGUGGCUUUCUUCCCACAGCUCCAUUAGGUAGUGCCCCAGUGAGGACUCUAAGUGGGGCCUCCAACUCAUUUUCCUCUGCAUUUCCCUAGGGUUCUUUGUGAGGGCUCUGCCCCUGCAGCAGGCUUCUGCUUGGGCACCCAGGCUUUCUUAUAUUUACUAUUACUUUUAAUGGCAAAAACCGCAAUUACUUUUGCACCAACAUAAUACAUCCUCUGAAAUCUAGACAGCGAACAUCAAGCCUCAUUCAUUCUUGCACUGUGUGCGGCCACAGGCUUAAAGCCACAUGGAAGCCACCAAGUCUUACAGUAGCUUAUGCCCUCUGGAACUAUGGCCCAACCUGUACCUGGGCCCCUUGGAGCCGAGGCUGGAGUGGGAGCAGCUGGGAUGUGGGAGCUGCCUCCCGAGGCUACACACAGGGCAGUGGAGCCCUUGGCCCAGGAAAGCAUUCUUCCUUCCUAGGCCUCUGGGUCUGUGAUGGGAGAGGCUGCUGUGCAGGUCUAUGAAAUGCCUUCGAAGGCUUUUUCUUGUUGUCUUGGCUAUUAGCACUGGCUUCUUCUUAUAUACAAAUAUCUCUAAUAAGUGGUUGAUCCACAGUCUGCUUGACUUCCUCUCCCAAAAAAGCUUUUUCUUUCUCUGCCUAGACAUGAAUAGGUUACAAAAUUUUCAAACUUUUACACUCUGCUUUCCUUUUAAAGUUCCAACUUAUUUGUUUGCUCUUGUAUCUGAUCAUAGGCUGUUAGAAGCAGUCAUGUUACUUCUUAAACACUUACUUUGCUGCUUAGAAAUUUAUUUCACUAGAUACCGUAGGUCAUCACUCUCAAUUUCAAACUUCCACAUAUCCCUAGGGCAUGGAUACAAUCCAGCCAAGCUCUUUUGCUAAGGCAUAGCAUAUGUGACCUUUGCUUCACUUCCCAAUAAGAUCCUCAUUUCCAUCUGAUAACUCAUCAGCCAGGCAUUCACUGUCCAUAUCACCAUCAGCAUUUUGGUCACAACCAUCUAACCAGUCUCUACAAAGUUCCAAACUUACCCUGUCUUCUUCUGAGCUCUCCAAACUCUUCCAACAUUUGCCUGUUACCCAGUUCCAAAGCUGCUUCUAAAUUUUAGGUAUCUUUAUAGCAAUGCCUCACUUCUCAGGACCAAUUUUCUGUAUUAGUUUGUUCUUGCAUCAUUAUAAGGAAAUACCUGAGACUGGGUAAUUUAUAAAGAAAAGAAGUUAAAUUGGCUCAUGGUUUUGCAGGCUAUACAGGAAGCAUGGCACUGACAUCUGCUCAACUUCUGGAGAGGCUUCAGGAACUUACAAUCAUGAUGGAAGGUGAAGGGAGAGCAGGCAGGUCACAUGAGGAAAGCAGGAACAGGAGAGAGAGGGUAGUGCUACACACUUUUAAAUGACCAGAUCUUGCAAGAACUGUUUUUCAGUCUAUCUUUGAUUCACAUAGUUUCAUGUAAUAAAUCUUCAAAAUAGGCAGAGAAUGAAUUGUAAACAGCCCUUACUCCUUACCAGUUCCUCUGCUUGAGUUCUAUUACUGUGUAUCUCCUAAAAUUUAUAUUUAAAAAUAUUUCCACCUGUUUUAAGUAUUUAUUUUGCUUCUUUGCUCAGCAAUAAAGUCCUCUUUAUCCACUGAAUCCACCCUUGCAGUUUUUCUGAACAUUGUUCUGUUUAUGGAUCCCCUUGAAACC